RNAcentral lists this long non-coding RNA (2931 nucleotides) under Sus scrofa (pig). Its description in RNAcentral is "lncRNA (ENSSSCG00015078477.1)". The record is from RNAcentral. Lineage: Eukaryota; Metazoa; Chordata; Mammalia; Artiodactyla; Suidae.
AAGAGUAACUGUGGCGCAGUGGAAAUGAAUUUGACUAGUAUCCAUGAGGAUGCAAGUUUGAUCCCUGGCUUCACUCAGUGGGUUGGGGAUCUGGUGCUGCUGUGAGCUAUGGUGUAGGUCGCAGAUGUGGCUUGGAUCCGUUGUUGCUGUGGCUGUGGUGUAGGCCAGCAUCUAUACCUCUGAUUCGACCCCUAGCUUGGGAACUUCCAUAUGCUGUGGGUAUAGCCCUGAAAAAAAAAAGUGAAAAAGAGAAGCAAAAAAUAUAUAUAUAUAUAUACAUACACACACACAGAGAGGUGGUGAGUCCUAUCCUGUUCCCAUUUAAAUUGCUUGUUUAGCUUGUGUAGACAUUUGGUGAGUGAAUGACUAGAUUCUUCGUCCUCUUUACCAGGUGGUGACUCCAAAUGCAGCUACUCUCCCAGAUACAGUAUCUUUACUGGAGCAACUUACUAUGGCUUUUGGUGCACAGUCAUUGACAUAGAUAUUGCCUUUUUCUCCAAACCAAUUUGUGAGGACCACCAAAACAAGCUUUCCUUUACCUGGAAAGGCUGGCAAUACACCUUCACAGUCUUGCUGCAGAGCUAAGUCAGAUCUCUUGUCUUCUUCCAUUACAUAGUCCACAGAUAAUGUGAUCAUCUUGACAUUCCAUGAAGCAUCACACUGGUGCAAUACACUGAUGACAAACUUAUUGCAUUUGAUGAAGAGGAGGCAGCAAGAACAAUAUAUAUGAAUGAGAGGGUGAGAAAUAAAUGCCACAACAUUUCAUAAGUCCAUUAUCUCAGUGAAAUUUCUGAGGGUUCAAUAGUUUGGAACAUGUUGAGAUAUCCUCCCCAAGGUGAAAAUCAAGUUGCUGCACUUUAUUCUACUUACUUCAAAAGAAGGUGCAGCCCUUGGCAGGAUUUUCUCUUUUGGAGGGAAAAUAUGUCACAUUUAUGUGUGUUUCUUUAACCCAUGGACCCAAAUCCCUGCAAGACAGUGAGUUUUGAGUGGGAACCAAAUAAAAAGAAGGUUCUGUGGCAAGCUGAGUCUUCAGUGCAUGUCCUUCUCCCACUUGGCCCCUAUAAUCCAGUAGGUCUAAUGAUUAUCAAAGAUUUUUUAUAGCAAAUAAAAAAGUAUAGUCUCAGGCAAGCCCCCAAAGGGGGAUCACAGUGCAGACUUCUGGGAUUUUAGAGUUAAUCUAGUCCCUCUAAUGCAGAUAACACUUUUUAUUCUGGGAAAUAGCUUCUAGCUUUCUCCUAGACUGUGGUAAGGGACUAGAUGCCUAACUAUGGUACAGCAGGUGACCACGGAGCCUGAGAUCCCCAUUCAGGAUUCCCCUGACACAGCUAGCCAUAAAUUUAACUUUGUGUAGCAGCAAUCUAUCAUUAGAUUGGAGUGGUAUGAAAGAGACCAUGCUUGGGCAAGUCUGGAAGAUAAGAGUUAGUUGUAUGGGUUAAUGACUCAGUCUCUUGCCUCAUUGCCUCCCCUUCUUCAAAUCAUGCCCAAUAUCUUUGUGGGGAGUUCCUUAUGGCCAGUAAGCUGAGGAAUACAAACUUGAGCUUGGCUUGCAGAUGGUGCUACAUGAUCUGUUAGAACCACCGCAAACGGAAGACCGCAACGUUACAACUGCAGGGGGAUGACCCUGAGGGACAGUGGUGAAGAAAAAUCUUUUCAGUGGGUAGAACCUUAAGCAGUAUAUUUGGUUGUCUGUUUAGGAGUUAGAUAUGGCCAGAAGUAUGAAUCUACACUGAUUUAUGAGCAAUUGUUGAUGGAUGAUUUGGCUGGAUGGUCAGGGACUUGGAAGGAAUGGGGCUGGAAGAAUGGCGACAAGGAGUUCUGGGGAAGAGGUAUGUGGAUGGACUCUUCGGAAUGGGCAUAGACUUGAAGAUUUAUGCCCCAUGUGAGUGCUCAUUCAAGGGAAUCUUGCACUGGCAGCUUUCAAUCAUCAGGUGAACAAUACGUCAUACUUUGCAGUUGUCAUUUACCCUGUUUAUCAGUUAUCCCUGUUCUUGUUUGAUGGUAUUGUGAAUAAAGGGUCCAUAGUGGCAGGGAUGGAGGAUAUACAUGGGAUCAAAAGUGUGAAUGUCUCCUUACUAAGGACUGCUUAGGAUGCUACCACUGCUGGGUGCUCAAUCUUUCAACAGGAAAGACCAAUAUGAGCCCAUGAUACGGCACCAUUCCCUAGACAGACUAGCCAUUUACCUGGUGGCAGGUUGAUUUCAUUGUGUCUCCUCCAUCAUGAAUGGGGUAGAGAUAAUUCCUUGUUAGCACAGGAGUUUUUUUUCUGGAUAUUGAUUUUUGGUUCACACCACGAUCUAAAAGUACUUACAGAAUGUCUCAUCCCCCACCAUUGCGUUCUACCCAGGAUUGCCUCUUCUCAAGGAAUUCAUUUCAUAACAAAGGAAGUGCAGCCAUAGGCUCAUGCCCAUGGAAUUAAUUGGUUUUGCGAUAUGACUCAUUGCCUGGAAGAGGAUGGCCUCAUUGAAAGGUGGAAUGGCAUAUUGAAGGCUUAGGUAUGGCACUAGUUGGCAGACAAGCCCUGAAAAGAGGCAAUAGAUGCUUUGAAUCAGACACCAUUGUGUGAUGCUGCCUCCUUCAUCAUUAGCCUAUAUGGACCCAUUAAUCAAGGUGUGGAAAUGGGAGGGUUCUGUGUCAGUCAAAGUCCAACCAGGAGACAGAAACCACAUUAAAUUAACUAAAGAGGAACAAAAAAGAACUCUAAAGAAUACCAUUAAGGAGUUCCCAUCAUGGUGCAUUGGAAACGAAUCUGACUAGGAACCACGAGGUUGCGGGUUCGAUCCCUGGCCUCACUCAAUGCGUUAAGGAUCCAGCAUUGCUGUGAGCUCUGGUGUAGGUCACAGAUGUGGCUCAGAUCCCGUGUUGCUGUGGCUCUGGUGUAGGCCAGUGGCUACAGCUCCGAUUAGACCCCUAGACUGGGAACCUCCAUAUGCC